Molecule: long non-coding RNA, 279 nt
Filed under: Elaeis guineensis (African oil palm)
Lineage: Eukaryota; Viridiplantae; Streptophyta; Magnoliopsida; Arecales; Arecaceae
Description: long non-coding RNA (EGUI_LNC011489)
Source: RNAcentral
GUGGCUUAAUUGGAGGGUGCUGCUCAAUCGAAUGAGAGACGUUGAUUUAUGCAUAGAAAGAAAGAAAAAACUCGCCGAAUCGAUUCUAACUGGAUCCUUCGAUGCCUAAGUCAGAUUAGAUUUUGAAAAAACAACAGUAAAAAAAAUAUAAUAAAAAAUUAUGAUGUAAAAUGUUAUCAUAUUCUGAUCGAUUUUUAUCUCGAUCUUUUCAAUUUGGCUUUUUCAAAUCGAUUUUAGGAUCGAUCAUUAGGAGCUCAGCCUUUACGGCUAUUCUAAGUC